GGCUGGUACACAGAGCACCCGGACUUGAUAAGCAGUCUGGCUCUGAAUUCAAACUCCCAGCACCCCGGAUGCAAUGGCUCUCCUCCCUGAAUUUCACCCUGGACCACCCCCUGCACAUGAUUCUGAGGUCAGACACGGCGGAGAGGACAGCAUUCCCAAGGGUUCAGCCUUGUCUCUCAAACCCCCAAACUUCUGCAUGUCCUACCUGCAGGUUCCUACUUACAAGUGAAAGUGAAGUGAAAGUGGCUCACUCCUGUCCGACUCUUUGCGACCCCAUGGACUAUAGAGUCCAUGGAAUUCUCCAGGCCAGAAUACUGAAGUGGGCAGCCUUUCCCUUCUCCAGGGGAUCUUCCUACUUACAAGGGCUUGGAUAAAAAUGUGGAAAUAGGUAUUACCAUAUGUAAAAUAGAUAGCCAGUGGGAAUUUACUGUGUGACUCAGGGAACUCAAAACGGUCUCAGUAACAACCUAGAAGGGUGGGAUGGGGAGAGAGGUUGGAGGGAGGUUCAAGUGGGAGGGGACAUGGGUAAACUGUGGCUGAUUCAUGUUGAUGUUUGGUGGAAACCAGUGC
Molecule: long non-coding RNA, 570 nt
Filed under: Bos indicus x Bos taurus (hybrid cattle)
Lineage: Eukaryota; Metazoa; Chordata; Mammalia; Artiodactyla; Bovidae
Description: lncRNA (ENSBIXG00000003277.1)
Source: RNAcentral